RNAcentral lists this ribosomal RNA (552 nucleotides) under Triticum aestivum (bread wheat). RNAcentral's name for it is "partial small subunit ribosomal RNA". The record is from RNAcentral. Lineage: Eukaryota; Viridiplantae; Streptophyta; Magnoliopsida; Poales; Poaceae.
AUGUCUGAGCUCGUCCGUCAUCCCGAAGCCAUGGCCAAAGCACAGAUUGAGAUCCGAGAGGUGCUAGGUCAAGGUCGAGCUGUGAUUACUAAUAGUGACCUCGCUGGACUCCAUUACAUGUGGAUGAUCAUUAAGGAGGUUCUUAGACUGCAUCCACCAGGUCCUUUGAUCCCCCUUGGGGCCAGGGAAGACCGUAAAGUUAUGGCUUUUGACAUGCUUGAAGGCACCAAUGUAUACAUUAAUGCGUUUGCAGUUUCGAGGGAUCCAAAUUGUUGGGAAAGUCCUGAAGAGUUUAAGCCUGAAAGGUUUGAGAACAAUAACAUGGAUUACAAUGGGACAUACUUUGAAUUCACCCCCUUCGGUGUUGGUCGGAGGCAGUGCCCUGGUAUACUAUUCGGCACGUCAACUAUGGAGAUCGCCUUGGCAAAUCUUCUCUACCACUUCGACUGGGUGCUUCCUGGCAAGGCAAACCCGGAAUUUUUGGACAUGACCGAGAAAUAUGGGAUCAUCGUACGAAGAAAAUAUGACCUACAAUUGAUACCUAUUUCCCGU